Long non-coding RNA from Lathyrus oleraceus (garden pea), 820 nucleotides. RefSeq lists it as uncharacterized. The record is from RefSeq and is a predicted model, not a curated record. The transcript has 2 exons. Lineage: Eukaryota; Viridiplantae; Streptophyta; Magnoliopsida; Fabales; Fabaceae.
AAAGGUGUGUUGUGCAAAAGGCCAAUGGGCCUGGUUUCUAUGGCCCAUGAGAGGAACAAAAAGAGGGAAAAGGAAAAGAAACUCCCUCAUUCGCUUCAUCACUCUCAUACUCACCCUCCAUCCUCUCUCCCUCGAUGCUCUCACCAAAAAUAGCUUCCAUUGCGCUGGAAAUCACCUCCGACGAUGGAGGAACCCAGAAUCACAUCUAACCACUACCAUCAACUUCGUCUCCUCGCCCUCUCUCCAUCCCCAAACUUCAUUUCUUCAACAAUCCAUCAUAACCCUCAUUUUUUCCAAAACACAUAAAACCCUAAAAAUUCUUCAAAUAAAAAUUAAAUGUCAUUGAUCAAUGGAAUCAGAGUGCAACCUUAGGGGUUUUGCUCAGCAAAGCUCAUGCUAUAACAUGGUAUCAAGGAUGAAGCAACAAGAAUGGAAAAUUAGAGGGGCACGAAGACCUACCUACAAAGCUGAGCUUCGCUCCGGUGAGUGGUGUAAAGCUUGAAGAUAAUGAUCAAGAAACCUAGAGAUGAGGCUCCAAUUAUAAGAAUAGGAUAAAAUGAGUGUAACAAUUAAGAGGUUACAGAUUAAUUGAAGAUGAUGUGUGUCUCAGCUCAAUUGAUUUAGAGUAUUUAUUAAUCUGUAAUGAGAAGCUUUUGACUCGUUGAAUUGAAACGUUGUAUAUCAAAUAAAUCUUCCAUGUAAACUUUAUAUCUUCACAUACAACUCAUCCACUAAAUUUCUAUGCAUGAGUGUAUUUUUUAAAUUAAAUUGUUGUAGUUACCAAUUGAAGUGAUCAACAAGAGAUAAUAAUAUUCGAAUA